GGGCUCAUAGCUCAGUUGGUAGAGCACUCGAUUUUUUCAAUUAUUUUCGGAUUGAAAAGAGGUGCGGCUCUUAAAAACUGCUGAUGGGAGUGACCGAGGUGUCGUGGGUUCGAAUCCCACUGGGCUCA
RNAcentral lists this transfer RNA (128 nucleotides) under Microcaldota archaeon. RNAcentral's name for it is "tRNA-OTHER". It matches the Rfam family "tRNA". From Rfam's summary of the family: Transfer RNA (tRNA) molecules are approximately 80 nucleotides in length. Their secondary structure includes four short double-helical elements and three loops (D, anti-codon, and T loops). Further hydrogen bonds mediate the characteristic L-shaped molecular structure. tRNAs have two regions of fundamental functional importance: the anti-codon, which is responsible for specific mRNA codon recognition, and the 3' end, to which the tRNAs corresponding amino acid is attached (by aminoacyl-tRNA synthetases). tRNAs cope with the degeneracy of the genetic code in two manners: having more than one tRNA (with a specific anti-codon) for a particular amino acid; and 'wobble' base-pairing, i.e. permitting non-standard base-pairing at the 3rd anti-codon position. Lineage: Archaea; Nanobdellati; Microcaldota. The record is from RNAcentral.